RNAcentral lists this transfer RNA (65 nucleotides) under Haematopinus suis. RNAcentral describes it as "tRNA-Thr". Lineage: Eukaryota; Metazoa; Arthropoda; Insecta; Psocodea; Haematopinidae. The record is from RNAcentral.
GCCUAAAUAGUUUAAAUCAAAACAUCAAUUUUGUAGUUUGAAAAUGGUUAUCGUACCUUUAGGCA